CUGAUUGAACGUGCUUGCACGGACUUGACGUUGGUUUACCAGCGAGUGGCGGACGGGUGAGUAACACGUAGGUAACCUGCCCCAAAGCGGGGGAUAACAUUUGGAAACAGAUGCUAAUACCGCAUAACAAUUUGAAUCGCAUGAUUCAAAUUUAAAAGAUGGCUUCGGCUAUCACUUUGGGAUGGACCUGCGGCGCAUUAGCUUGUUGGUAGGGUAACGGCCUACCAAGGCUGUGAUGCGUAGCCGAGUUGAGAGACUGAUCGGCCACAAUGGAACUGAGACACGGUCCAUACUCCUACGGGAGGCAGCAGUAGGGAAUCUUCCACAAUGGGCGCAAGCCUGAUGGAGCAACACCGCGUGAGUGAAGAAGGGUUUCGGCUCGUAAAGCUCUGUUGUUAGAGAAGAACGUGCGUGAGAGCAACUGUUCACGCAGUGACGGUAUCUAACCAGAAAGUCACGGCUAACUACGUGCCAGCAGCCGCGGUAAUACGUAGGUGGCAAGCGUUAUCCGGAUUUAUUGGGCGUAAAGCGAGCGCAGGCGGUUUGAUAAGUCUGAUGUGAAAGCCUUUGGCUUAACCAAAGAAGUGCAUCGGAAACUGUCAGACUUGAGUGCAGAAGAGGA
Molecule: ribosomal RNA, 622 nt
Filed under: Limosilactobacillus mucosae
Lineage: Bacteria; Bacillati; Bacillota; Bacilli; Lactobacillales; Lactobacillaceae
Description: bacterial SSU rRNA
Rfam family: Bacterial small subunit ribosomal RNA
Source: RNAcentral